Molecule: ribosomal RNA, 514 nt
Filed under: Peristernia reincarnata
Lineage: Eukaryota; Metazoa; Mollusca; Gastropoda; Neogastropoda; Fasciolariidae
Description: partial 16S ribosomal RNA
Rfam family: Bacterial large subunit ribosomal RNA
Source: RNAcentral
GGCUCCUCGUAAAAAUUAAAUGAGGAGUCGGACCUGCCCAGUGAAUUUUUUUAACGGCCGCGGUACUCUGACCGUGCAAAGGUAGCAUAAUCAUUUGCCUUAUAAUUGAAGGCUAGUAUGAAUGGUUUGACAAGAGUGCGACUGUCUCUAUAUAAUUAAAUAGAAUUUUAUUUUCAGGUGAAGAAGCCUGCAUGAAAUUAAAAGACAAGAAGACCCUAUCGAGCUUGAAAAAAAUUAAUAGGUUGAUUAGAUUAAUAAAAUUAAAAAUUUUUCUAUUAAAAAUUUUAGUUGGGGCGAUCGAGGAACAACAAAAGCUUCCUUUAAAACUUAAAUAUCUACAAAUUUAGAUCCAAAAUUUUUUGAUUAAAGAAAUUAGUUACCGUAGGGAUAACAGCAUUAUCUUUUUUGAGAGCUCCUAUCGAAAAAAAGGUUUGUGACNNNNNUGUUGGACCAGAAUAACCUAAAGAUGCAGCAGUCUUUAAGGGUUGGUCUGUUCGACCAUUAAAAUUCUACG